UACGUAGGGUGCAAGCGUUGUCCGGAAUUAUUGGGCGUAAAGAGCUCGUAGGCGGUUUGUCGCGUCUGCUGUGAAAACUCGGGGCUCAACUCCGAGCUUGCAGUGGGUACGGGCAGACUAGAGUGCGGUAGGGGAGACUGGAAUUCCUGGUGUAGCGGUGGAAUGCGCAGAUAUCAGGAGGAACACCGGUGGCGAAGGCGGGUCUCUGGACCGUAACUGACGCUGAGGAGCGAAAGCAUGGGGAGCGAACAGG
RNAcentral lists this ribosomal RNA (253 nucleotides) under uncultured bacterium. RNAcentral describes it as "partial 16S ribosomal RNA". It matches the Rfam family "Bacterial small subunit ribosomal RNA", at positions 524 to 776 of the family's 1533-position model. The record is from RNAcentral.